UGGGAUUUUAGUCCAUCAUAG
This 21-nucleotide microRNA is filed under the name Ovis aries (sheep). Its description in RNAcentral is "oar-miR-3955-3p". The record is from miRBase by way of RNAcentral. Lineage: Eukaryota; Metazoa; Chordata; Mammalia; Artiodactyla; Bovidae.